GUUCCGGUUCCGGUGUCGGCUGCAGUUCAGUUGCUAUGGCAACGCGGUUGGCGGGCGGAUGGUUCGGAUAGCCCGCAAAGUGGUGGGACUGGGGCGGGCUGGCGUCCGCGUAUCCCAGCCUAGGCGUUCGACGUUCUUACUGCGGUAUCGUCAGUGCCUAGGACAGUGCUUGGAAUGUGAUUCAUUGAUUUCAGGCAAAUCAGAGGGACAAGCAUCAUGAACAGAAAUGUAUAGAAAUGCUGUUAUGCUGAAGCAUAAGUUUUAGAAGUCCAGCAUCUGGUGUACUUAAUGAUAGAGAAUAUACCUAUUAAA
This is a long non-coding RNA of Otolemur garnettii (small-eared galago), 312 nucleotides long. RefSeq lists it as uncharacterized. Lineage: Eukaryota; Metazoa; Chordata; Mammalia; Primates; Galagidae. The record is from RefSeq and is a predicted model, not a curated record. The transcript has 3 exons.